RNAcentral lists this RNase P RNA (354 nucleotides) under bovine gut metagenome. Its description in RNAcentral is "Bacterial RNase P class A". It matches the Rfam family "Bacterial RNase P class A". Rfam says of the family: Ribonuclease P (RNase P) is a ubiquitous endoribonuclease, found in archaea, bacteria and eukarya as well as chloroplasts and mitochondria. Its best characterised activity is the generation of mature 5'-ends of tRNAs by cleaving the 5'-leader elements of precursor-tRNAs. Cellular RNase Ps are ribonucleoproteins. The record is from RNAcentral.
GUCGCGCCCGCAAGGGUGAGGAAAGUCCGGACUCCGCAGGGCGAGGGACCCGGUUGUCAAGGCCGGGGACGCGGCGGCGAUCGCCGCGUACGGAAAGUGCCACAGAGAACAGACAGCCCGCAAGGGUGAUGGUGAAAGGGCGGUGUAAGAGACCACCGGGCGCAGGCGAAAGCCGCGCCGCAGGGCAAACCCUCCCUGGAGCAAGAUCAAAUAGGGGACUGAACGGGCGGCCCGUCCGGUUCGCGUCUGCAAGGGCGCGGUGAAGUCCCGGGUUGAUUGCUCAGAUGAAUGAUCGGAGCCCCCGCAGGCGGCGCGAGCCGCGGAAGGGGUGAACAGAAUCCGGCUUAUUCGCCG